This 315-nucleotide ribosomal RNA is filed under the name uncultured Chloroflexota bacterium. RNAcentral's name for it is "bacterial SSU rRNA". It matches the Rfam family "Bacterial small subunit ribosomal RNA", at positions 28 to 351 of the family's 1533-position model. Lineage: Bacteria; Bacillati; Chloroflexota. The record is from RNAcentral.
GAUGAACGCUGGCGGCGUGCCUAAUACAUGCAAGUCGAACGAUCGACUUCGGUCGAUAGUGGCGAACGGGUGAGUAACGCGUUGGUGACCUGCCCCGAAGAGAGGGAUAACAGGCCGAAAGGCCUGCUAAUACCGCAUAAGCUAGUCGUGGUUUAGGAGAUGACUAGGAAAAGGAGCAAUCCGCUUUGGGAGGGCCUGCGUCCCAUCAGCUAGUUGGUAGGGUAAUGGCCUACCAAGGCUACGACGGGUAGGGGCCUGAGAGGGUGGCCCCCCACACUGGCGACUGAAACACGGGCCAGACACCUACGGAGGCAG